AGUUACUUGUUUGCUUGCUGAGACACCUGACACCUGAAAAUUAACGGAGAGGUUUAUUUUCGCUCACAGUUGGCGGAGAUUGCCGUUAACAGCCCGGAGGACCCAGGGCACGGCGUUCCAGCAGGGGGCCUGGCGGAGCGGAAGGAGCUCGGGGCAGGAUCCAGGGAAGAGGGCGGGAGAUACAGCUUUUCCGGGCUACCGCCUCCACCAAGCUUUGCCUCCCAACAUCAUAAACUCAUCAGCGGGCAAAGCUACGGGUCCUUCACAAAGGAAAUGGGAAAAAAGGAGAAAAACGGUAUAUGAGUGGAAAUGCAACCAAAGUGAGAAAGGAGAAUUGGAAUGGCAUAGGACUUCAAAGGGAAGAAAGAACCAUCAUUACUGAGGCAUCUUUUUCCCCCUAGCAGUGCUGGAGAUGGAAGAGAAUCCUACACAUUUUCAGGAGAGAUACUUUCAAGCCUUCUGCCCUUCAAUUUAAAUGGUUUGGAGCCUGUCACUGCACUGAGAGGACAGAAUUACUAUUGGUUAUAACAGCAUCAACAGAUCUGACCACACAUCGCUUCUGUUAAGCCGUAUAAUUUAAUGUAACACUUAAGAAGGAAAUUUUGCUAUUACUGACUUUUCAUGAAAAUUGUCCAGUGACGGUGUAAAGCAGAAGAGCAGCUACGGGAGAGAGAUGAAAGAUGAUUUUCU
Molecule: long non-coding RNA, 690 nt
Organism: Chinchilla lanigera (long-tailed chinchilla)
Lineage: Eukaryota; Metazoa; Chordata; Mammalia; Rodentia; Chinchillidae
Exons: 5
Source: RefSeq, a predicted model, not a curated record